AUGUCUGUUGCUCAGAGAUGGCAAUAUAUGAUCUUCAUGCUGGCCAAUACCAUCAGCUGCAUCACCACCUCCACCACACACACACACACACACACACACACACAUACACAUAUCUACCAACUAUGGUCUCUGAAUCACCCAUCAUUAUAGAUGGUAACCUCAGGUAACCAUAGCAACAGUAUGAUGAGCGAACACUGUGAAGAGUUAGCGCGAGGAGGAGUAAAACGAGUUUGAUCGGUGUAAUUACAGGAUAUUCUCAGAGCCAGAAAAGCUGGAUUUGCCUCUAUUAUUGUCUACAUCGUGAGUUAGAAUGAUAGAGAAACUGCUGUCAGUGGAGUCGGACUUACGCACGACUUGAGCGACACACGAACUAUGAGUUUCGAGUCAGCAGAAUGUUGGAAUAGAGGAGGAGGUUUUUGGCUUUGAAAGCACAUUUCAAUAGAGGUGGAUUGGUAUCUCUCAUGACCUAAUGCAAUGAAAAUGAACUGAAAAUGAACCCUGUUUAGUUUUGUAAUACUGUAUUUAUUCCGGAUCGUAUCAUGUUCAUCAGUGCAUGUGAUACUACAGGAAAAAGAUUCAUUAUCUUAAUCGGUAGAUAAAAUGAGGUAGAAUAUCCUAUGUCAAGUGAAUGUCAUGAAUAGUUUAAUGAUGACCUUGAGAUAUUGAGGUUAAUACAUAAUGUGUCAUAUUUUAUUCAGUAUUAAUGCUAUCAUAAAGACUUCAGGUACUCUCAUUUGAAGAGUUUCUCUUUCCAGAUUUUCCAGAACAGUGUUAUUGACUUGCUAAUUUGAGGAAAUCAGAGGGUUUGUCUUUAAAUUGACUAUGUUGUUUUAAAAACAGAUUUAUGAAUCAUAAAAUGUUAUUAUUGCCUUUGAACUUGUAUUAAUAGCUGCUUACAAAAUUAUCGAAUAAUAUUCAUUUUGCAAU
Carassius carassius (crucian carp) is the source of this 927-nucleotide long non-coding RNA. RefSeq lists it as uncharacterized. The transcript has 2 exons. NCBI's taxonomy places the organism in Eukaryota, Metazoa, Chordata, Actinopteri, Cypriniformes, Cyprinidae. The record is from RefSeq and is a predicted model, not a curated record.